AUUUCCAUGGGGGGGGGGUGGAAGGGGGGCCUCAGCUCGCAGGUGGGGGGAGGGGUCUCGGGAGGGUCAUUAAUUUGGGCCAUUGGUCCCCGAGGUCCCAAAAUAAAUGGGGACGUGCAGGGGAUGAUGGGAGCGGGCGGCGCUGCCCCCACCCCAAAACGGAGCUGACAACGGAGGCUGAGUCGGCACCUGGACUUCAGAAUGGGGACCCUAAAAUCAGCGCCGUGACUGUGAGGCUGGGACCCCAAAACUGGAGGUGGGACCCCAAAACCAGCAGCAGGAUUCUGGAAUUGGAUCCCGAAACUGGAAUUGGGAGCUUGGAAUUGAGACCCCAAAAACAGCAACGGGACCCCCAAACUGGGACCCCAAUAUCAGCACCGGGACCCCAAAACUGAGACCAGGACCUUGUAAGUGGGACCCCAAAAUCAGCAGCAGGACCUGGAAAUUGGACCCCAAUAUCAGCACCGGGACCCCAAAACUGAGACCAGGACCUUGUAAGUGGGACCCCAAAAUCAGCACCAGGACCUGGAAAUUGGACCCCAAUAUCAGCACCGGGACCCCAAAACCGAGACCAAGACCUUAAAGUGGGACCCCAAAAUCUACCCUGGGACCCCAAAAGCAGACCCAUGACGAUGUAAUCAGCAUCAAGGACCCCAAAAUCUGGCACUGGGACCCCAAAUUUCACCACUUGGACCCAAAAAUUAGCAUUGGGGACCCCAAAAUCCGGCACUGAGACCCCAAAUUUCAGCACUCGGACUCCAAACCCAACACCAAGACCCCAAAUUCCAGCACUGGGACCCCAAAUUUCACCACUUGGACCCCAAAAAUCAGCAUUGGAGACCCCCAAAUCCGGCACUGGGACCCCAGAUUUCACCACUUGGACCCAAAAAUCAGCAUUGGGGACCCCAAAAUCCAGCUCUGGGACCCCAAAUUUCAGCACUUGGACUCCAAACCCAACACCAAGACCCCAAAUUCCGUCACUGGGACCCCAAAUUUCACCACUUGGACCCAAAAAUCAACAUUGGGGACCCCAAAAUCCGGCACUGAGACCCCAAAACCAGGACCCAGGACCCAUGGCUGAGGGGUGUCCCCUCCCUGGGGAGGUGACAGAGGGGGACAGCGGUGUCCCCAAAGGGGACGUCGAUGUCCCCGAGGUCACCGUCACUCCUUGGGCCAGCGGCAUCACCAUCACUGUGACGGUGGCACCGGCGGAUGAGGACAUCGAGGACAUUUGGGACAUUGGGGACACCGAGGACGUUGGGGACAUUGGGGACACCGCUGAGGACAUUGGGGGUGCGGAUGUGGGGCGCGGGGACGUCCCCGUUCCACGUGACAGAGAUGUCCCAACCCUGAAGGGUUUUGGGGACGGGGAUGGCAUUGAUGUCACAGCCCUAAAGGACACUGAGGUGACAGAGGUGGUGACACCAAGGGGUGUUGGGGACAGGGAUGUCCCAACCCCGGGGGAUAUGGGGGGCAGGGAUGUCUCCAUCUAUGGGGACAAGGAUGUCCCGGUCCACGAGGAUGAGGGUGACGGGGACAGGGAUGUCAUAGGUGUAUGGGAUGAUGGGGACAAGGGCUUUGGGGACGGGAAUGCCACCACCCCAAGGGACGAAGUUUGGGAUGUCCCCGUUCCCAGUAUGGAGAAGGGCAGUGGGAAUGGGGGUGUCUUGGCUGCUGGAGACGAGGACAUUGGGGACAUCCCAACCGUAAGGGACAUUGGGGACAUCCCAACCGUAAGGGACAUUGGGGACAUCCCAACCGUAAGGGACAUUGGGGACAAGGAUGUCACAACCCCUAAGGACGAGGACACCAAGGAAAAGCCUGUCCCAACCAUGGGGGAUGAGGACUUUGGGGGCGAGGGUGGUGGGGACAGGGAUGUCCCGUCCCCAGUGGGCUUUGGGGACAAGGACACUGGGGACAAGGAUGUCCCAUCCCCUAAUGGCAUUGGGGACAAGGAUAUUGGGGACAAGGACAUUGGAGAGAAGGGUGUCCCAUCCCCCAUGGGCUUUGGGGACAAGGACUUUGGGGACAAGGAUGUCCCAUCCCCCAUGGACUUUGGGGACAAGGACGUCCCAUAUCUCAUGGGCAUUGGGGACAAGGACAUUGGGGACAAGGACUUUGGGGACAAGGAAGUCCCAUCCCCUAUUGGCUUUGGGGACAAGGAUGCUGGGGACAAGGAUGUCCCAUCUGUCACAGGCUUUGGGGACAAGGACUUUGGGGACAAGGGUGUUCCAUCCCCUCUGGGCUUUGGGGACAAGGUCUUUGGGGACAAGGAUGUUGGGGACAAGGAUGUCCCAUCCCCUAAUGGCAUUGGGGGCAAGGAUGUUGGGGAGAAGGAAGUCCCAUCCCCUAUCGGCUUUGGGGACAAGGACGUCCCAUCCCCCAUGGGCUUUGGGGACAACGACAUUGGGGACAAGGAAGUCCCAUCUGUCACGGGCUUUGGGGACAAGGAUGUUGGGGACAAGGAUGUCCCACCCCCUAAGGCCUUUGGGGACAAGGACAUUGGGGACAAGGACUUUGGGGACAAGGACGUGCCAUCCCCCAUGGGCUUUGGGGACAAGGAAGUCCCAUCUGUCACGGGCUUUGGGGACAAGGACUUUGGGGACAAGGAUGUCCCAUCCCCCAUGGGCUUUGGGGACAAGGACGUCCCACCCCCUAAGGCCAUUGGGGACAAGGACAUUGGGGACAAGGACUUUGGGGGCAAGGAUGUCCCAUCCCCUAUGGGCUUUGCGGACGAGGACAAUGGGGACAAGGAUGUCCCAUCCCCUCUGGGCUUUGGGGACAAGGACUUUGGGGAGAAGGAUGUCCCAUCCCCUAUCGGCUUUGGGGACAAGGAUGUUGGGGACAAGGACAUCCCACCCCCUAAGGCCUUUGGGGACAAGGACUUUGGGGACAAGGACUUUGGGGACAAGGAUGUCCCAUCCCCCGUGGGCUUUGGGGACAAGGACGUCCCAUCCCCUAAGGCCUUUGGGGACAAGGACGUUGGGGACAAGGACAUCCUACCCCCUAAGGCCUUUGGGGACAAGGACUUUAGGGACAUGAAUGUCCCAUCCCCUAUCGGCUUUGGGGACAAGGACGCUGGGGACAAGGAUGUCCCACCCCCUAAGGCCUUUGGGGACAAGGACUUUGGGGACAAGGAUGUUGGGGACAAGGAUGUCCCAUCCCCCAUGGGCUUUGGGGACAAGGACGUCCCAUCCCCUCUGGGCUUUGGGGACAAGGACUUUGGGGACAAGGAUGUCCCAUCCCCCAUGGGCUUUGGGGACAAGGACGUCCCAUCCCCUAAGGCCUUUGGGGACAAGGACGUUGGGGACAAGGACAUCCCACCCCCUAAGGCCUUUGGGGACAAGGACUUUAGGGACAUGAAUGUCCCAUCCCCUAUCGGCUUUGGGGACAAGGAUGCUGGGGACAAGGAUGUCCCACCCCCUAAGGCCUUUGGGGACAAGGACAAUGGGGACAUCCCAACCCCAGGAGAUGUUUGGGAUGAGGAGGUUGGGGACAUCCAGGUCCCAACCCUAAGGGACUUUGGGGACAGAGAGUUUGGGGACAGAGAGUUUGGGGACAAAGAGUUUGGGGACAAAGAGAUUGGGGACAAAGAGAUUGGGGACAGGGAUGUUGGGGACAAAGAGAUUGGGGACAAAGAGUUUGGGGACAAAGAGUUUGGGGACAAAGAGAUUGGGGACAAAGAGUUUGGGGACAAAGAGUUUGGGGCCGAGGCCAUCUCAGCCCCGCAGGACUUGGGGGGCAGGGAUGUCCCCCCCCGAGGGGACAUUGGGGUCGUGCCCCACGGGGACGGGGACAUCCCGGCCUUUGGGGUCAGCGAGGAUGGCCGUGGGGACACGGUUGGGGACAUGGGGGGCGUGGAUGUCACCGCCCGGGGGGGUGAUGGGGACAGAGAGGGGACGUCGGGAAGGGUUGGGGGCGUUGAGGGCGCGCGCGGUGCCGGUGACGUCAUCACCAUCACGGUGACGGCCCCGCCGCUGGAGGACGGCCCCGGCGACGAUGACGUCAUCGCUGACGCCAUUGCCGCCCAACCGCGCGGUGUCGCGGGGGGGCGGCGACGUCACAGCUGCGCUUCCCGGUGACGUCAGCCCUGAGGGCGACGUCACCUCGGCGGUGGCGGGGGGUGACGUCGUGGCCGAGCUCGUCGACGGCGAUGACGUCACUUCCUUUCUCCCCGGAGGAGAGCCCGGUGGUGACGUCAUGGCUGCGGGUGAUGUCACUCCCCACCUCCCUGAGGGUGAGCGCAUGGGUGGUGCCGUGCCCGGGAGUGACAUCGAUGAUGACAUCAUCAGUGGAGAUGACGUCAUCUGCUCCCUCCCCAGAGGUGACCAGGCUGAUGGUGUUGUCCCUGGUGGUGAUGUCACUGAUGACGUCACCACGGAUGAAACGGUCGCUUCUUUCCAUGGGGACGACCACGCCCAUGAUGUCAUCCCUGGAGGUGACAUCACUGAUGAUGUCAUCACGGAUGAAACGGUCGCUUCUUUCCAUGGGGACACCCGCACCAAUGAUGUCAGCCACGGGCGUGACAUCAUUGAUGACGUCACGAUGGGUGAAACCAUCUCUUCUUUCCACGAGGGCGUCCACGCUGAUGACGUCACUCACAGAUACGACAUCACUGAUGACAUCACCCAUGGAUAUGACAUCACAGAUGAUGUAAUCAAUUGGGGUGACGUCACUGAUGACGUCAUUAUGAGCGAGGCCAUCACCUCUGCAGGCAGGGAUGUCCAUAUUGGUGACGUCAUCCACGGGGCUGACCUCACUGAUGACAUCACCUACUUGGCUGACCUCACUGAUGACGUCAUCACGGAUGAAACCAUCACUCCUUACCAUGGGGAGAUGGGCGGUGAUGACCUCAUCCACGGAGGUGACCUCAUCGAUGACGUCACCCUUGGAGGCGACCCUGGUGAUGAUGUCACACCCGGUGCUGACAUCACAGCCGCAAGUCCGGGCCGUGAUGUCACACCUGAGCACGAUGACAUCACCCCAAAGGAUGACGUCAUCAGUGACACCAUCAGCCCCGCAGAGGAGCAACCGCUGUGCCCGCGCCGUGACAUCACCGAUGACGUCAUCGCCCACGUGGGGCCCAGGAGGGGCGGAGCUACAGCCGCCCCCCAGCCCCAGACGAACCCCCCCGGCUGCCCCCUCGUCUUCCUCGGCCUCCUCUGCCUCCUCCUCAUCCUCCUCCUCCUCGCCGGCGUCUUUGCGGCGGUGCAUUACGUCAAAGUGUUCCUCAUCAGCUCCGUUCCGAUGGACCCCCCCCCCCCACCCCCAUGAGCCUCUAUGGGUUGGGGGGGGGGCACUGAUGUCACCUUGGGGGGGGGGGGGGGGGACACAGCUGACCCCCCCCCCCUCCCCCAUGAGCCUCUAUGGGGAGGGGGGGACACAGCGAUGUCACCUUAAGGGGGGGGACACACAUCUGACCCCCCCCCAAUGAGCCUCUAUGGGUGGGGGGGGGGCAUCGAUGUCACCUUGGGGGGGGGGACGGACACCUGACCCCCCCCCAAUGAGCCUCUAUGGGUGGGGGGGAACACAACUGAACCCUCCCCCCCCCCCCCACAAUGAGCCUCUAUGGGUGGAGGGGGGGCACCGAUGUCACCUUGGGGGGGGGCACACCUGACCCCCCCCCCACGAGCCUCUAUGGGUGGGGGGGGACAUCGAUGUCACCUUGGGAGGGGGGGACACACACCUAACCCCCCCCCCAAUGAGCCUCUAUGGGUGGGGGGAACACAUAUCACCCUCCCCCCCCACCCCAAUGAGCCUCUAUGGGUGGGGGGGUGACACCAAUGUCACCUUGGGGGGGGGGGACACACCUAAGCCCCCCCCCAUGAGCCUCUAUGGGUGGGGGGGGACAUCGAUGUCACCUAGCGGGGGGGGGGAAACACACCUGACCCCCCUCCAUGAGCCUCUAUGGGUGGGGGGGGCACCGAUGUGACCUUGAGGGGGGGGGACACACACCUGACCCCCUCCCCCCCCCCCAGUGAGCCUCUAUGGGUGGGGGGGGGGACAUCGGUGUCACCUUGGGGGGGGGGGGGGGGGGACACCUGACCCCCCCCCAUGAGCCUCUAUGGGUGGGGGGAACACAUAUCACCCCCCCCCCCCCACCCCAAUGAGCCUCUAUGGGUUGGGGGGGGGACAUCGGUGUCACCUUGAGGGGGGGGACACACCUAAGCCCCCCCCCCAAUGAACCUCUAUAGGUGGGGGGGGGACAUCGAUGUCACCUUGGGGGGGGGGGGGAAACACACCUGACCCCCCCAAUGAGCCUCUAUGGAUUGGGGGGGGGGACACACCUGACCCCCCCCCUCCAUGAGCCUCUAUGGGGGGGGACGACACAGCUGACCCCCCCACCACCACCCCAAUGAGCCUCUAUGGGUGGAGGGGGGGACAUCGAUGUCACCUUGGGGGGGGGGGACACACCUGACCGCCCCCCCCCCCCCCCCCAAUAAAUCAGUAAGGC
Long non-coding RNA from Gallus gallus (chicken), 6454 nucleotides. Lineage: Eukaryota; Metazoa; Chordata; Aves; Galliformes; Phasianidae. The record is from Ensembl.